This 291-nucleotide long non-coding RNA is filed under the name Terrapene triunguis (Three-toed box turtle). RNAcentral describes it as "Terrapene carolina triunguis (Three-toed box turtle) lncRNA (ENSTMTG00000008156.1)". The record is from RNAcentral. Lineage: Eukaryota; Metazoa; Chordata; Testudines; Emydidae.
GCAGAAGUUAACUGAAAGUGAAACUGAAAAUGAUGGUCUCAGAAAAGAAACACUUGAAACAGAGAAGCAUAUUGUAGAGCUUUCUUCUCAGCUUCAACAGGAAAAAGCAAAUGCACUAAAAGCAGAUCACCUAUCAAAGUCAGUAGAAGCUGUACAAGCCCAUCUGCAAUGCCAGAUUCAAAAAAAGGAGGCUGAGAAUGAUCAGUUGAAAGCAAAAAUACAGGUUACAAAUAUUUUUCCUUUGGGUUUACUUUUAGUUCAUUGGUAAAUUAAUAAAAGUAUAUUAGGGCC